Molecule: non-coding RNA, 949 nt
Organism: Phascolarctos cinereus (koala)
Lineage: Eukaryota; Metazoa; Chordata; Mammalia; Diprotodontia; Phascolarctidae
Source: RefSeq, a predicted model, not a curated record
AAAAUGGAAUCUCUCUUUGACAGAAAACAGGGAGUGUAAAUUAAAGCCUGGGGGAAGAUGUAUUUCUUCUGUUUGCCAGUAUUUUACGAAGUUUUAUGAGCAUGAUUAUUUCUCCACAAGGAGUGAGUUAUGCUUUUCAUUCCAAACAAGUGAUGGUAGGAGAUACUUACACUCUGUAAAACAAAAUAAGACAGAGGGUUAAAACUCAAAAGAAUUUUUCUUCCCAAAGAAACUGAAUGGGUAUGGAAGACAGACUGGGAAAAAUUGAACCCUGGCUUCCUUUAAAACUCAGCUCAAGCAACAUGACCUACAUAAGAUCCUUCCUGAUCCUUCCAGAGUCUACCGCCUUGGUUUGUUGUCUUUGUGCAAACUGCACAUUUACAGACCAGCAUGGAAUUGGAACAGAGAAGAGAUUACAGUUCUAUGUCAUACAAGUCUGAAACAUACUACUUUUCUAAAGAGACUUUGUACUUGGGACCUGAACCACAUUCCCACUCCACAAAUCUGAUAUCAUUAAGUAUUGUGGCUAAGAGAUUCUCAUUAUAAUCUUGCAUAGCUGCAAACUGUGUGACUAUUGGACAAAUCACUACAUCUCUAUCUCAACCUCCUCUCAACACAUGCCCUAAUAAUUUGCCUCACAAAAUUGUUGGGUAUGUGCACAUUUCCGAAACCCAGCACUUCCUAUGGGGCUGCCAUAGUCCCCAGCAGUUCAAAGUUCUUAAGUUGUUUUGGUUUAGCCUACAAUUACUUUAUCUUGUAUGUCUCUAAUCCCAGAAAUUGGUUUAUCAAAAACAAAUUAUAAGAAAUAAUCAUGGACCACACUUUCCACCUGAGUUUCAACUGAUCCUCAAAGCCCUAAACUAGUUCUCACCCCAGGAUAAAAUUAACACAAAGUUCUUAUGCCCAAAGGUCUACAAAAAUGUGCAUACCCUUUAAUCCAGCAAUAGCA